CCUACGGGUGGCAGCAGUGGGGAAUAUUGGACAAUGGGGGCAACCCUGAUCCAGCCAUGCCGCGUGUGUGAAGAAGGCCCUCGGGUUGUAAAGCACUUUCAGUGAGGAAGAACGCCUGGUGGUUAAUACCCAUCAGGAAAGACAUCACUCACAGAAGAAGCACCGGCUAACUCCGUGCCAGCAGCCGCGGUAAUACGGAGGGUGCGAGCGUUAAUCGGAAUUACUGGGCGUAAAGCGCGCGUAGGUGGCUUGAUAAGCCGGUUGUGAAAGCCCCGGGCUCAACCUGGGAACGGCAUCCGGAACUGUCAAGCUAGAGUGAAGGAGAGGAAGGUAGAAUUCCCGGUGUAGCGGUGAAAUGCGUAGAGAUCGGGAGGAAUACCAGUGGCGAAGGCGGCCUUCUGGACUGACACUGACGCUGAGGUACGAAAGCGUGGGUAGCAAACAGGAUUAGAUACCCUGGUAGUC
Molecule: ribosomal RNA, 465 nt
Filed under: Vreelandella stevensii
Lineage: Bacteria; Pseudomonadati; Pseudomonadota; Gammaproteobacteria; Oceanospirillales; Halomonadaceae
Description: partial 16S ribosomal RNA
Rfam family: Bacterial small subunit ribosomal RNA
Source: RNAcentral